This 588-nucleotide ribosomal RNA is filed under the name Triticum aestivum (bread wheat). Its description in RNAcentral is "partial small subunit ribosomal RNA". Lineage: Eukaryota; Viridiplantae; Streptophyta; Magnoliopsida; Poales; Poaceae. The record is from RNAcentral.
AUGCUUCAAGUGUGGUCAACCAGGACACAGUGCCAGGGCUACUCUCAGAAUCAGUACCAGCUUGCACUUCCUCAAACUGGCCAUGGUAACAAUCAGCCCCGCAACAACAAUAUCAGGCCUUAUGGUCGUGGUCAAGCCAACCACAUUGAUCUGAAUGGAGCUCAAGACCAGCCUGCUACUGUGUUGGGUACUCUUCUUGUUAACUCAGUACCAGCUUCUGUUUUAUUCGAUUCAGGAGCAUCGCAUUCUUUCAUAUCCGAAGAUUUUGCAUCCAUGCAUGGCCUUAAAUUUGAAGAAAUGAAUAACCCGCUAGUGGUACACACCCCCGCGGGCCAAUGUCGAACCACCAUGGUUAGUCUCAAUGUCCCCGUUGAAAUUGAAGGGCUGAAAUUCCAUGUUUCCCCCAUCGUUUUGAAGUCGUCCAAUAUCGACCUCAUCCUGGGAAUGGAAUGGUUGAAAACGCAUAACGCUUCUAUCAUUUGUGCCACUAAAACCGUGCAUCUACUACAUCUGUCAAGUGAGAUAGUGAGCUACCAUGCUCAUCUUGUUCGGAAUGCCGAAGCACGGAUUUAUUCCUUGGAUGCAUGA